Molecule: transfer RNA, 73 nt
Filed under: Candidatus Obscuribacterales bacterium
Lineage: Bacteria; Bacillati; Candidatus Melainabacteria; Candidatus Obscuribacterales
Description: tRNA-Arg
Rfam family: tRNA
About the family: Transfer RNA (tRNA) molecules are approximately 80 nucleotides in length. Their secondary structure includes four short double-helical elements and three loops (D, anti-codon, and T loops).
Source: RNAcentral
GUCCCUGUAGCUCAAAGGAUUGAGCAUCUGGCUACGAACCAGAAGGGUCCAGGUUCAAAUCCUGGCAGGGGCU